Zonotrichia albicollis (white-throated sparrow) is the source of this 12969-nucleotide non-coding RNA. NCBI's taxonomy places the organism in Eukaryota, Metazoa, Chordata, Aves, Passeriformes, Passerellidae. The record is from RefSeq and is a predicted model, not a curated record.
GCAGAGAAGGGGCUCCCCAGGCAGGGAAGGGGCUCCCCAUGCUGGUCGCUGGCGUGACCCGAGGGGCACGGUCAGUGUAGGCACAGGGCAGUGAACACCACAGUGGGGCAAAACCAGCAGCAGGCACUUGGCUUUUGCAUUUCUAAACGUUUUUAUGCAAUGAGCAGGUACUCUAAUAAGCCAUAUAUUUAGCUCCUUUUUUUCCCCCUUCAUAAUAAUAUAUCCUUACUUGGAUAUAAGUAUAGCUAAGUACUGAUAAAUGCAAAUUUGAGGACAGUGAAUGCCCGUGUGUCACUGUCUUAGUGUGCCAGCACUGCCCUACACAGAGUGGAAUAUACGAUGGUCCUUUGGUUCCUCAAAAUGCGUCCUUGGCCUUCAGAUUCACACCAUGGAAAAUACUUGUAAAUCCAAUUUUUAAAGUGAAGUAUUUUUUAAGGUGAAGCAAAUGUGGUGCAGAUGAGAGCAGCUGCAAAGUCCAGUCUGUAAAGCAGUACAGCGUGGCUGCUGCUUAUCAGCGAGUUCUCUGCUGAUACAGCUCGGGCCUGCUUUGCACCUCUUGGGUCACGGUAUCUCCAGACCUGUUGUUCACAGUGACAUAUUUUGCUGGUGGACCUCAGUCUGGGAUCAGAGUUUUUGCUGAUUAUUCUUACGAGCUCAUUCUUGUAGGUUUCAUUUUAUUACUGUUUAGGGAGGUUUGUUUUGCUGCUUAUCAAUGGCUAAGUUAAACAACCCUGGUGAAAAGCCUAUGAUUGCUGCCAUUUAUGGCGUUCUAACACGGUUUCAGGCUUUUCAAGGAAACUGAAACUGAAAAUGGGGCAGGAUUGUGAGUGUUGCUCAAGAUAGAGAGGCUUUGCAAUGGUGCAUUGUAAAUAAUUACUGUUGUACAUGGCUUGCUCAUUUGGGUGUUUAUCCUAUGAGUCUGUUGGCUUGGUUUAAUAGACUUAGGCAGGCAAUUGUUGGAGGGGAACAAUUGUUCCAGUGAACCACUGCCUCACCCAGCCGUGAUUUCAAGGUUAAGGCAAUGUCAGAUCUGUCUGCUGAGAGAACCUGGUGAUGAAACUCCAGUGUUGUCACUGGUAUUGUCAGUUGUGCAGUGGCACCAUUGGGAAGGAGAUUAUGGGCAGCUAAAAGACUGAGUGAGCUGUUCUCUCCUGUUUUGUUUUCUCUGUGAGGCUCAGGCCUGUGUCAUUGAUGUAGUUCAGUGAAAACCACACUGUGCUCUGUGUGAGGCUGGGAUCACAGUUUGAUCCUCCACAGUGAGGAGGGCCUAUGGAAACCUGUGGUGCUUCCCUGCUGGCUGACGUGCCAAAAUAGUUUUCUUUGGAAACCAGAGUGCAAACUGGUCUCAUCCUGACAUGCAGUAGGGACAUAGGUGGGAUUUCCCCUGCAUCUCAUGGUAGAGACGUUGCAUUUAUUUACCUUGAGGCCGAUCUCCAGAAGCAAUAGCUGCUAAUCCCAAGUACAACUUUCCCCUUAGUAGGGACAGGAUGCUCCAAAUCUGGGCAUGUUUUAAAAAAAUGCAGACUUGUCAGGUGCCAGAAGAGAGCUGCUUUUCAUGGUGGACUCCCAGAGACCAAAGAGGAAGCAGAGGUUCAUAUUUGGCCUUGCAACAAGACAGACUGCACCUGUGAGAGCUCUGAAGGGGAAGAGCUGCUACCAGACAUGCUUGGGUUCUUUGAAGUAGAAAUGGUUGAAGGCCCUGCUGUUCCCAGCCUUUCACUCCUGUUAUGUCAGGUCAUUAAUAGUGGCUUUGCACCACUGGCUCUAAAGUUGUACAAAGGUCCAGGAGAUGGAAAAUGGAAAAAAGUUAGUGUUCACAGAUGUCUUUUAGCAUCACUGCAUAUGCUGAAGUGUAGCUGUGAUCCUGCUCCUUUUGCUACCACACUUUUUGCAGGUUGGGAACAAGGAAGCAGAGAGAUGGGUCCUCAGAGGAUGGGAUUUAUGAGUAUGGUUUCUUUGUUUUAGCACAACCAUAGGGCAGUUCAGCUGCUUACUUCAGUUCUCUCUGAUUUUUACUUCCUCUGCUUAGUUUGGGGAACAAGUAACAGUCAGAAUGGGUUUUCUACAACCUUAAAAUGAUCUUAUAGAGGAAGAAAAAUUCAUGUGGUGGUUUAGGGCUGCACAAAUACUACAGAUGGAAAAGAUCAUGCAAAAACAAAAAUUUGUGUCAGACUAAUAUCAGUACAGAACUGCCAACACAAGUCAAUGAAAGCUUUUCUCACCUCUAGACAUUUAAACAGUUGGCUGUAAUCUGUUGUCAGAGUGGAAAUGUUUAUGUUCUGAAGUUUGCCAGUGUACAGAAUUCAUGUUCUGGUACACCUCAAUACAACAAUGGGUCUGUCCUCACCACCUUCUGGCAGCUAGCAUGCUCUGAGUGAAAUCUUUCUUUCAAAACAUAAUGGAAAUUCAAGAAAAAGAGUUUUAAACUAUGCAGACAAAGUUUAUGUUUUAUUUUACAGGCUUUUGAUAUGAGAGGAAGCAAGUGGCAUAUUGAUGUAUUCUUAAGGCUCAUAUGAGGUAGCUAGAGGUGAUGAACUGUUUUACUAAAAAAUCCAUUUCCUUUUGAGUUAAAAAUCUAAAAUUCACUGAGGACAUAAAAAGUCCUUCUUGUUAGGAGUUCCUCUACAAAAUUAACGUCAUAAAUUGCCUAAUUUUUAGAUGAAAGACCCUUUGAUAACACCAUUUUACGUGACCCAUGUUCAUGUUAUUGUUGGCCGACAUUUUGGAUAUGUUUAAUAUGUCAUGCUUAACAAAAGUUUCUGAAAGACCUUUUCUGUCCUCAGCAUGGAAAAGUUUUUUCACUUCCUUUUCUUCCAUCAAGCUUAUUUUCCCAGCACUUAUCAUCUCUCAUUAGGUCUUAUCUUUCUUCUGGAUAGGAUUGUUUUCCCAAUUCAUACACAGAAGCCCAGUUGACUUCUGAGUGCAAUCUUUCCAUGCCAUGGUACCCAGAGGUUCAGAGAUAACUCUGUUUGCUUGGGUAAUGUUGGUGAAUAGAACACAAUGCAAUUUUAAAACCUUUUUCUGGAAGGCAAAAAAAAAAAAAAAAGGCUUUGUAUACCUCUGGAGAAUGGAAGUAAAUUACAUUCUUCCAUUAUGUACGUGAAUCUGAUUUUGAGGAUGGUGGAAUUAAUUUAUCUGGUUAUAAAGGACAUGGCAUCUUCUAAAAUGCACAUGAUUAUUUUUAGUUUGGUUGAUUUUAGCUGACCUGUAGACGUUUCUCAGUGUAUGUUACAAUUGCAUAUUGCUUUCUGAGACAGAGUGAAUGCAGCACUAGAAAGCAAUUAUGGAACUAAUAUAUUUCCCUGAAAUGUACUUUGUGAUGCAGGAUUUUACUCAUGUUUCUAAAAAUGACUUAAACUUCUGCCUGAAUUAUCCUAGUAUCACAAAUAUGCCACUUAUAUCAAUUUAUCCCAAAGAUACCAUCUUAGUAAGGAGAAGUAUUCCAUGACUGGCAAGAAUAACUUGCCUUCCAUAAUAACAGUUUUCCCCAGGUCCAAAAUGUUUUUUUUUCAGUGAGGAGUGGAAUGCCUGCCUGUUCUGUGCACUGGGGCACCUGCACUGUGAGACACAAAGAACAGAAAAACCCUGUAUUUUGGGACUAAAACACCCAAGCAACAAAGCAGACAGUCAUACAAAAGUACCCUCUUCAAACAAAGCCUCUGUCACCCAGCUUCCUGGGGAAUUUUGUGCAGGAAUCAAUUUUUUCUUUUUCUCCCUGUACCACAUGUUGCCAUAGUCUCAACUUCAAGAAUGAUCAGAGACCUAUAAAACAUGAUCUAAGGGGGAAGAUUGAAAGAAUUGGGGUUGUUUAGUCUGAAGAAAAGGAAGGUGCUGGAAAAAAUGGUAAUGAUCUUUCAAAUAUAUAAAAUUUUUCUCUGCAGACAGAAGGAAUCAGUUUUUCUUUAUGUUCAGUGGGUCUAGGGCAAGAGGUGAUGGACUUGGAAAUUUAAAGUAGAUCUUAGGAAAUUAUUUCAAACUGAAAAUGUUGUUUGGCAGUGAAAAUGAUUAUCUGGGAAUCUCAUUUGCUGAAGGCUUUGAAAGGCAGAUUAGGUCACAUGUCUCAGGAAUGGUUUUAGUUGCAGUAGAUUAGAUGGAGAUAACCCCAAAAGGUUCCUGGCUGGUUUUUGAUGUUUUGUUUCUCUCAGGUGAUUUACAGCAGAUGCUUUACUGCUGUGUUAUUUUGAUUCUCACUCUUCCUUAUAUCCUCAGAAAAUGCCAGGAGAAAAGAUGUCAGUAGGUAAAAAAUUGGGUAAGUAGGAUGGGUGGGGACGUUGCCAAUAGCAGAGCACUAAGAAAUCACAAUUCCUGCAGGAAAACUGGUGUGCUUGAGCAGAGUGUGACAUUCAGCUUGUCCUCCUGACUGGCUUUGGGACACAAGUGUUGAGCUGGCUUUCAACAAGUGCUGAAAGUGACUGGUUAGUCAAUACCCAGAAAUCAAUGUUUUAAAUUUCAAUUUUAAAUUUGAAUUGGAGCUUCCCCUUUUGCUGUAUUUGAGCAUUUCCUGAAUUUGCAAGGAGUGAACUCUAUCCACAGUUAACCAGAAGCCAGUUUGUCAGACUUCUUUUUCCUCCAGUUCUCUGCAACAGUAAGGUAGUAUCCUAAGUCCUUGUAAUUCUUUGAAACAGACUUGAGGAAUUAAUUGUUCUAUUUAAAUAUGCAUUCUGGUGCAAAAUUUAAAACAUCUCUUGUUCACCUUCUCCAUACUCUUCCUGUUUUUUUUCAUUUUCACCAUUCUUCCUGUAGCCUAAAAUCUCUAUUUUCUUCCUGUAGGUAACUGUAGGUCUUCUGCAAUAUCAGAGUGAUAAAAUGACACUUGAACAGAUUCAUGGGAACCUAGGGAGUGGGACCUGUCAACUCUGGUUGACAACUCUGCCCAAGUCCAAGAUCACCUAUGUCUUUGUCAUUCCUUGACAGAAAACAGUUUAAACUCUGUCUGGAUACUGAGUGAUGGCUACAGGUGAUUAUUCUGAAGGGUACAAUUCAGCAUUUCCUGCUGAAGCUCUGCUCUGUGACAGCUUAGCUGGAUUGCAGCAGACAAGGUACUGGAGACUGAAGAAAAGGAAUGUGAGAAGGAACCAUUGAAGAUUUUAUACUGAAAGUAUCAGGUGGUUGUGAAUGACUGCCCUUGGGAAAUUCACUUUAUCCUCUGGCCAGAAAUGUUGCUUCUUAACCUUUAGUUUUGCUUUUUGAUUAGUCUGUGUUUGUACAGCCUCCUCUUGGAGAGACAGGCUGGAAAUUUGUACCAGUAUUUGCUUUUGCAUGCUCAAACACUACUUUGCUUCCUGAAAAAAAUUUCUAGAAAACAACUAUAUAAUGCAGAAAACAGAAGUUAUCAUAAAUUAAACAUCUGACAGUAUGAGAAGGAAUACCAGAAGGUAAUUGUACAAUUCCUUACUCUGUUCUGAUUUUGGGUAUGUGGAGAUUCCUAUAAGAUGUGAAAACCUUGCUUGUUUAUUUACAUGACAAAAGAGGAAAAAGGCAUUUUUUAGCAGAACAUACUGUUUAAACAAACACCACAGUGAGACAAGACAGCUAAAGCCCAGUCCUUUGUCCAGAGCUGUGAUUGCUGUGACCCCACUGUCACCACCACAGGAUUCUCUUCCCCAGGGAUGGAUCCUGGUCCCUGUGCUGUGUCAGCCAGGAGAGGAGAAGGACAGACCCCUGCUGUCACCAAGGACACCCCAAAUCUCUCCUGAGCCUCAUCCAAAAAGGUUCUGUAAUUUACAGUUCCUUAUGGCAGGACACUUCUUCUGGUAUUGUCAUGAGCAUUUUAAAAAUGUUAUCAGGCAAUAAUUGCUAUCACAACUUUUAAUUCUGUGUUUCUGUUUCAAAUUUUCCUCAGUUCAAUCAGAACCAAAAGUUAAUGCCCGUUGGCUAAUUUCCAGUGCAUGCCUCCACAGAACAACUGCUGCCUUUAACUGGUGGAGAGAUCAAGGCUUGAACUGACAAAAGACAUCUGUAUUUUGGAAAACAAAUUAAUGUUUAUGUUUUAAUUUAUAAGUUCCUGGCUCUUUUAUGGUUCCUGUUUUUCAAGUAAUGUCUCUUUGGAUCCCUAGCUGAUGGAGAGUCAAAAUGGAAAAGGCCCAUGAGAGAAUUAUCACAAUAGAACAUCUGGUCUGCAUUGGAAAAAGCUGAGAAAGAUAUUCAACAUCUCUGAGACUGAGGUUGCCAUGAGGCAGUUUGAAAGUCAGUCCAUGAAAAAUUGUGCAGGUUGUGGCCACCUGGGCCAAUCUGGUGUUGUUUUGGGAAGAGCUAUUCUGCUCACAAGAAUCUGAAUUUUAAUCUCCCUCAAGCAUGGUAAUGUGAGAGCUGGGAGUGGUAUGAAAGGUGUUUGCUUUCCAUAAUGUUAAUCUGGGUCCCAGCAUUGUCCUAAUUAUAUUGUGGGUUUUUGCCAGUCUCCCAGAUUUCUUUUGAGCAUGUAGGCUGGACUCAAAAGGCUUUCCCAGGGCUUUUGGCAUAGCUUUACAGGAAAGUGGAUGGAAAGGACUUUGUAUAUUUUUGCAAGAAUAUUUUGCAUCCUGCUUUAAACUAUUCCAGAAGGUAAAAGGACAUUAGCUAGACUGUGUGUUGGCUCAUGCACUGCUAUGUCACUAAUGAGAAGGAAUUUUAUUCCUGUUUUCUGCAGCCACAGAUUGUAAGAAAUGCAAAGAAAUCAUGGACCAGCCAGGGCAGUAAAGGUACCCCUGGAUUCAGAGGGAACAAACUCCUUCCACCACAUGGAACUUUGGUCCUUUAAGUCAUUAUAGCUCAUGCAGAACAGAAACAAUUUGACAUGUAUAACAAGAAACAUUGCAAAUUGUUUGCCAAACAAAGACUUAUACUGCAGAUGGAAGAACUGAUGAAAAUUGUUUAUAGAUGGGGAACUAAAUGUAGAUUUUUCAAGAACAAGGUUGCUGUCUUCCUUGCCAAGACAAACAAAUCUGAUAGACCAUCUCAUUGCUUUAGGCUGCCUGAGGACCCACUGGAAAGUCUAUGGACCUUUUUCCACAGAAAAUUUGUGUGUUGUCAAUACAUAAGUGUAUUGUCCACAGUUACACUGUGGCAGCUGCAGAGGAAGUGGAAGGUUCUCAGGAAUACAUUAGGGAGAACUGGAUUUUUGGCUUCUGAAACAGUGUGGAGUGCUUUUGGAAACUGUGGAAGUUUAUAAGCUGGAUGUUACUGCUACAAAAGGUUAUCUGUGAGUUAAAUAGAAUACUAAUUAAUCUGCUAUCUUAAGAUCUUAACACUAACAACAGAAUGAAAUUGAGAAUUCCUGUCUUCUAGAAUUGCAGUUUCCAAGAUUCCUUCAUUCCUGUGAACAUACCCUGGUCUGCAUUUGGAGUUUUUCAGAGUUACCUUUAGAAAUCUGUGCACAGAUGUUUUUACAAAGCACUGUGUAAUCAUCCCAAACAAUGGUUUUAAUGGGCCAGUUAUUUAGGAAAUCAUGUAAUGAGAACAUAAAUACAAUCCCUGAUACUGACAUAAAACAUGUAUUAGCAAAAUAAUAUAGUUUGUAUUUCCUUGAUAAAGAGCAGACCCUGGAAAUACAUAACUCAUCAUGUUCUUAAAAUUUUGUUACAUCUGUAAACAUCUAUAUUGGCAGAGAGGCCCAGCAGCACCCUGGGCUGCAUGAGGAAGAGCAUUGCUAGGAAGUCGAAGGAGGUGAUCAUUCCCCUGUGCCCAGCCCUGGUGAGGCCUCAGUGGGAGUGCUGUGCCCAGUUCUGGGCUCCCCACAGCAGGAAGGACUUGAACAUGAUGAAGGAGGGCAGAAAGGGCCAUGAGGGUGGGCAAGAGGAGCAUCCUGUGCUCCCAGGGAGGUUUGAAGUUGACAUCAUUGAAGAAAUUCCAAACUCAGCUGAGCAAGGUCCCGAGCACCCUGCCCUGGGUGAGCCAGCUUGGGGCUGGGCUUGGGCUGAGUGAUCCCUGGAGAUGCUUCCAGAAUAUUUGGGAAUGUUUGAGGCAGUUUGCUUGUGCCUUGUCAGUGUUUUAGCUGCAACUCAACUGUGGAGGAAUCCUAAGGAGAGCAAAGGUUGUGACCCUAGAAAUUCAUCCAGAUGGCUGAGGCCCAGAAAAGGCAUAAUGGGAGCUGCUAAGUACUCUGAAUGUCUCAUCAGAGUGAUAUUUCACUUGAAAAUACAAAAUAGAAAUUACUUGGGUCUUAAUGACACUGAAUACCCAUAAUGUUCUCUCACUUCAGCUGGACUGCAGAUGCUAACAACCUCUCCCUAUCUGAACAUGUUUAUUUUCAUUUAAUCUUGCUCUGUACAAUCUUAACAUAUAUUUUACUCCAGAAAUUAAUACUUGGUGUUUACAGUGCAGAAUUUAUUUGCUUGUUUGUUCCACACUUUCUUUCCUUUCUAGUACUGAUAUUAACAAAUUACAAUUUAUUUUGAUAUAUUACUUCAGUAAUAUAUCAAACUGAAUAUAUUCAUGGUAUGUACAUACCAUGUACAUACCAUGUCUCAAGGAGUUGAAAAUAUCCUAAUUUGAGCAAGGUAAAAUCAAAAUAUAUAAUUACAUUGCAUAUUCUAUGGCACUUAUUUUGUAACUGUUCUUACAGUAUCUUCAGAAUAAGAAAGAAGAUGAAAUUCAAAAAGGACUUUCAUAGUUUAAAAAUAUUUAUGUUGAAACAAGAUUUAUGUUGAAAGGCAAAGAUAAUUUUUUUAAUCAUCUGAAUAGUGGUAGGAAGAUUCACCUGUGGUUUUUCUUUAUGAAAAUGCCAAGGAGCUAACUUGCAGUAUUGAGAAUUCCUUCUUUUGAAAAUUCUUUGUCUUUUAUAUUGCCUGUUAAGGAAAAAGGAAAGCACACUGGAAAACAAGAAAUUGAGCAACAUUGCACAAGUAAUUAGGAAAUAAAUAGAUCAUAAAGCAUUUUACUUCAUUUUGGUUUUGCCCUUCAACAAGUGAAACGAUAAGUAAAUAACCUGUUUCUUUAUUACCAGUAUAUGGAGUUACAUUGGGUCUGAGAGACCAAGGCAUAAAUGUGUAAAUAACACCUGUGGUUUUUAUUACAGGACAUCAGAUUUUGCUAGGGAUGAGCCCAUUGUGGAGCCACAAAAUUAAGACUUCAGAAGAGAAUAACACAUGAAGGUCAAAUGUUCUUUGUCAUUGGUUGCUGUCUCUGCCCCACUCUGCCCUGAUUUAAUGCUUUUACAGCACAUCUCUGAUUCAGUCUCCUCUGUCCUGUGUGGGAUGGGGGUAGAAUAUUACUUUAAAUUGACACCUCUAGCAGCAGUUCCUACUUGUACUGGUUUCCUUUUAUAAAUGUGUAACCUAUUAUAUCUAUCCAAGCUGGCUGAGCUCCAAGUCACCCAUUUCUCAGUAAUACAGGAAAUUAAAUCUAAUGUCUAAUAAGCGUAGAGGCUUAUGCAACCUUCAUUCCCUGUAAAAAGUAUUAAAUAACAUAAUAAUAUUACCUUGUCUUUUGAUUGCUAGGGAGCUGUGCACUUAGUUUUUGUGCAGACCAAGCUGGCUCUGCAUUUGGGCUUGAAGAGUCUGAGUUUAUCCAUCCUUUUUUGCAGACUUACUGAAUUUCACCUGGAAAAUUCUCCUGUUAUUAAAGGACCCCCUGAAAUGUUCAUGUGUAGGUUUGGGUCCCUUUCUCCACUUGUCCCUUUGUUCCCACAGAGGGUUGUGUCCCCCAUGAUCUCAUCCUGGGGGUGCUGCUGCUUCCUCAUUCAUUCUCUAUCCCCCAGGAUUUUCCAGCCUGAACAGAUUCCUGCCUGUUCCAUCCCAUUUUCUGAUAAUACCCACGACAGCUCUGUGUUGGUUGCUGCAGCCUUUAAAAAUGCAGAAAUCUGACUUUAGGCCAUACAGGUUAGCAACAUAAUUUCAGGGCUUUGUCUCCUGCAUGUACCAGUUCAAUAAGUGGAUUUAUACUGAAUAAUUUUAAACUGUUACAGCCCUCUGAAACCAUUUCUCUCUUGCUGCUGUAAUACAUAAAGUGGCAUAAGGUCACUGAUGAUGUGGAAAUUGGUUUUGGAGUUGAUAUGCUAAUUCAGCAAGAAAUCAGUUCUAGCAGAAAUGCAAAGAAAAUUAUUUUAAUCUAGUGCCAUGCUAUUUUGUUGGCUUUUAGGAAAGAGAUAAGUAAAAUAUUCAAGGGAGUUCCAAGUCUGUGGAAAAAGUAGCAUUUUGGAGAUUUAAGGUUAUUUUUGCCUCACAGUUUCUUAGCUUCUUUUCUGAAAGCAAAUAAGCUGAAUGUGAUGGACACAAAUGCGAUAUUUUCACAUGCUCAAAAACAAAAAAAAGAAAGAUCUUUCUAAAAACUGAAUUCUGUAUAAGAAUAAACUUGGUUCAGUCUUUUCUGUGUCAUUCACCCCAUGUUUACAGUAACUGCUUCUGCAAUUUUGUGGAUGAAAACUUCCAUGCAGAUACAUCCAGAGCCAUUAAUGAGGAUGCAUUAUGCAACUAAUUGCAACAGGGAACAAAAUUACAGUAAUGGUGCCUGAGGAGAAAGAGAAUCUCUGCACUCAGUGUACAAUGCUGCUGUUUGCAGAGGAAGGACACCAGCUGCAACAAAAGUAGUGUCUGUUCUAGAGUGAGGCAUGAGCUCCACUGGACAUGAGUUGGCUUCCCUGGCUGCUGUGCUCAGUAUUUCAUUUUAGCAAGUCUGAGAUUGCUCCAAGUCUUCAUCUCCUCCUCCUUUAUGCCACUGCAAGCACCAGGUUGUAUGUUAUUGAAGAGAGAGAAAUAGAAAGUGCAAUGCAGUGUUUUAUUUCAUGCUGCCCAAGUUUACUCAGACAGACACACCCAGAGAGAACGUGUGCUGCACUCAGCUUGGAGAUCUGUGUUAGAAAUCCUGGCUCCCCUGUGCUUUCCUGCUUUGCCAUAGCUGAUAAGAGAGUUUAUAACAGGAACCCCCUGUUACCUCAGCUGCAAAUGGUUCUGAGAAUCUAAUGGCCAAGAGAGCAGAAUUUAAAUUUAUUUUUGUUUGGCUUGUGUUCCAGCAAGCAUUUAAAAGAUCCCCCAGUUUAUCUUUGUCAGAGAUUGUUUUUCUUUUGGCUUAGCUUGGACACCAAUCUCACUGUUGAGUUUACAUUUAUGGAGUGGGACCCAAGGUUUUCUCCAAGCAUUCAGUAUUAUGAUUUUGACUUUGCAAGUCUUGUUGCUUGGGAUAGGUGUAAAAGUCAUGUCUGCAUGUACAGCAAGAACAGAACUGGGCUGUGGAUGCUGCUACUUAGUCAAUUGGGCAGGAACAAAAUUCUGGAGGCUGCCUCUCCUCUUGGCUGGCAGGCAGAAGAGUUGGUAAAAGCUGCAAAGACAACUGAGCACCUUAAUGAUGACAUUUAUUUUUUAUUUUAUUUCGUUGGUGGAUUUUGAGGAAUAGUUUUUAAAAUGCAAUUAUUUUACUGUCCUUUAGCAAAGCAUGUGUGACCACAGCUGUUUUUCCAAAAUGCCUGGUUUGCUUGCUUUUGUUGCCACCAGUGGAGUUCUCACUCCACAUAGCAAUGUCCACAAGGUGGUGCCACAGCUAAGAACUUUGCAACAAAUAAGGCAAGUAACAUGAUAAUUCUGUCUGCUUUUUGUAACUGACUGAAGUAUCUGCAUCGUGAAAGAAUUAAUAAUCAUUUCAUAAGCCAAAUAUCACAGGUUUGCAGCUCUUUUUUUGUGAGAACUAAGGUGGGUCUGUCUGAUGAGCAAGAGCAGCAUCCACACACCUGAGACUGUCCCAAAUCCUGCACAGAAAUGAGGAGGCAACUCAGGGUUUAGCAGUCAGGCUGAUGAAGAGCUGAGUGUAUUUCCUAGCAGGGUUACCUGUGCCAACACUGGCAUGUGUCUCACGUUUUUAUCUGGUCACUUCAGCAGGAAUCAGCCUGAAUCCUGACAAGCAGAAUAGUUCGUCCACAGCUUCACCCAAGACAGCUUCUACUUACCCUGGACAGGCUAUGGCACAUCAGACCCGAAUUUCCUGAGUUUUUCUAGAGUCAGGGAUAUCCAGGCUCCCUGUCCUAUGUUAAUCUACAGCUGAUUAUUAAUUCCAAAGGGUAUGAAAUGCUCACAGAGGGACCUGCACAGAUGCUCAAGUUUCUGAGCAUCUUUGUAAAAAAGAUCAGACUAGAGAAGGUAGAAGGCAGUAACAGAGAAUGUAAAAUGUCAUGUGUCCAGUACAGAAAAGACAAUAAAACUUCCAGGGAAAAGUUGUUUGUAGGGAUCUGGAUGACUGCACUGAUUUUGAUGUCCCAGAAGUGCAGCAGGAUUUGGCCAUGCCCUCAGAAGGUGUGGGUCAGUUCUUCAGCUACCCUUGGCCACAUGGUGCUUCUUGCACCUCUGCCCUGCUCCCCUCAGUGGCCUCUGUAAUUCAGGUGUUUGUGCUAGCAACAGAAAUACUCCCUCUCAGCUUCUGCAGUGGAUAAAUGAAGUUUGAAUCAUUUAUUCUUUACAUAUUUUUGUACCCAAAGCAGCAAGAAAAAGGGAUACCUUAAAAUACCAUUCAGACAAGCAUUGACCUGCCUCCACCUAGAAUCUCUCUUUGCUAAGCCUGUAUCAGAAAGAAAAAAAUAAUAGGGUUUGCAUAAAAUUUCCUCUAAAUUGCUACAUUAUUAUUUUAAAACAUAUUAAAAUUUUUCUGGCUAGUAAGGGACUCAGUGGAAAUUAUGUAUACCCAGGAAAGAUGGUUUGUCCCCCAGUUACAAAGUAGAAUGAGGUGUAGAAGCUUAUUGGGUACAGUUAUAAAAGUUGUCAAAUAACACAAUGGCCACCUAUUUUGUUUUUAAGGAUCAUAUCUAUAAAUUAUAUGUAAAAGUGGUUUACAGUAUUUUGAAACUUUGUAUUGGUUUCAUCAUCUGUUAGAAAAAGUCAGAAUCUAACCUGAGAACUAACUAAAAAUAUGAACAGGUCAAGUAGAUUUAAUUUCUGAGUCAGUCUGUUGAGUUAGCUUGAACUAACUGAAUCAUGACACUGACAUUGUCAGAGUAUUCCUGAAAGAUUGUUCUGAGUGUAUGGCUGCAAUGUGCCUUGCAAUUAAAUUGACAUAUUUCUGGUUUGGUUUGGA